Molecule: ribosomal RNA, 482 nt
Filed under: uncultured bacterium
Lineage: Bacteria
Description: bacterial SSU rRNA
Rfam family: Bacterial small subunit ribosomal RNA
Source: RNAcentral
UUGAACGCUGGUGGCAUGCCUUACACAUGCAAGUCGAACGGCAGCACGGGGCCAACUCUGCUGACGAGUGGCGAACGGGUGAGUAAUAUAUUGGAACGUACCCUAGAGUGGGGGAUAACGUAGCGAAAGUUACGCUAAUACCGCAUACGAUCUACGGAUGAAAGUGGGGGCUCGCAAGACCUCAUGCUCAUGGAGCGGCCGAUGUCUGAUUAGCUAGUUGGUGAGGUAAAGGCUCACCAAGGCGACGAUCCGUAGCUGGUCUGGGAGGACGACCAGCCACACUGGGACUGAGACACGGCCCAGACUCCUACGGGAGGCAGCAGUGGGGAAUUUUGGACAAUGGGGGCAACCCUGAUCCAGCAAUGCCGCGUGAGUGAAGAAGGCCUUCGGGUUGUAAAGCUCUUUUGGCAGGGAAGAAACGGUGAAGGCUAAUAUCGUGUGCUAAUGACGGUACCUGAAGAAGAAGCACCGGCUAACUACGU